RNAcentral lists this ribosomal RNA (476 nucleotides) under uncultured bacterium. Its description in RNAcentral is "bacterial SSU rRNA". It matches the Rfam family "Bacterial small subunit ribosomal RNA", at positions 20 to 518 of the family's 1533-position model. The record is from RNAcentral.
UGGCUCAGGACGAACGCUGGCGGCGUGCUUAACACAUGCAAGUUGAACGGUCCGGCAUGGAAGCUUGCUGAAGUGUCGGGUAGUAGCGGACGGGUGAGUAAUGCAUGAGAAGCUGCCAUUGGGAGGGGGACAACAGUUGGAAACGGCUGCUAAUACCCCAUAUGCCGGAAGGUGAAACGGAGUAAUCCGCCCGAUGAGGUGCUCAUGUCCUAUCAGCUUGUUGGUGAGGUAACGGCUCACCAAGGCGACGACGGGUAGCCGGCCUGAGAGGGUGACCGGCCACACUGGAACUGAGAUACGGUCCAGACUCCUACGGGAGGCAGCAGUGGGGAAUAUUGGGCAAAUGGGGGCAACCCUGACCCAGCGACGCCGCGUGAGGGAAGACGGCCUUCGGGUUGUAAACCUCUUUUGUACGGGAAGAAGGACGUGACGGUACCGUGCGAAUAAGUCCCGGCUAACUACGUGCCAGCCGCCGC